GGUUAAGCGACUAAGCGUACACGGUGGAUGCCCUGGCAGUCAGAGGCGAUGAAGGGCGUGCUAAUCUGCGAUAAGCGCCGGUAAGGUGAUAUGAACCGUUAUAACCGGCGAUACCCGAAUGGGGAAACCCAGUGUGAUUCGUCACACUAUCAUUAACUGAAUCCAUAGGUUAAUGAGGCGAACCGGGGGAACUGAAACAUCUAAGUACCCCGAGGAAAAGAAAUCAACCGAGAUUCCCCCAGUAGCGGCGAGCGAACGGGGAGGAGCCCAGAGCCUGAAUCAGCAUGUGUGUUAGUGGAAGCGUCUGGAAAGGCGCGCGAUACAGGGUGACAGCCCCGUACACAAAAGCGCAUGUGCUGUGAGCUCGAUGAGUAGGGCGGGACACGUGGUAUCCUGUCUGAAUAUGGGGGGACCAUCCUCCAAGGCUAAAUACUCCUGACUGACCGAUAGUGAACCAGUACCGUGAGGGAAAGGCGAAAAGAACCCCGGCGAGGGGAGUGAAAAAGAACCUGAAACCGUGUACGUACAAGCAGUGGGAGCCCCACCACCAAAGCAUUCUCUGGUGUUGAAGGCCCUGCAAAGCAGCAUCGCGGUGGCGGAGCGUCGUUUGCGACGCCCAACACACAAAACAAGCGGUGAAUGCUUUGGGGUGGGGUGACUGCGUACCUUUUGUAUAAUGGGUCAGCGACUUAUAUUCUGUAGCAAGGUUAACCGAAUAGGGGAGCCGGAGGGAAACCGAGUCUUAAUUGGGCGUUAAGUUGCAGGGUAUAGACCCGAAACCCGGUGAUCUAGCCAUGGGCAGGUUGAAGGUUGGGUAACACUAACUGGAGGACCGAACCGACUAAUGUUGAAAAAUUAGCGGAUGACCUGUGGCUGGGGGUGAAAGGCCAAUCAAACCGGGAGAUAGCUGGUUCUCCCCGAAAGCUAUUUAGGUAGCGCCUCGUGAAUUCAUCUCCGGGGGUAGAGCACUGUUUCGGCUAGGGGGCCAUCCCGGCUUACCAACCCGAUGCAAACUGCGAAUACCGGAGAAUGUUAUCACGGGAGACACACGGCGGGUGCUAACGUCCGUCGUGAAGAGGGAAACAACCCAGACCGCCAGCUAAGGUCCCAAAGUCAUGGUUAAGUGGGAAACGAUGUGGGAAGGCCCAGACAGCCAGGAUGUUGGCUUAGAAGCAGCCAUCAUUUAAAGAAAGCGUAAUAGCUCACUGGUCGAGUCGGCCUGCGCGGAAGAUGUAACGGGGCUAAACCAUGCACCGAAGCUGCGGCAGCGACGCUGAUGCGUUGUUGGGUAGGGGAGCGUUCUGUAAGCCUGUGAAGGUGUGUCGUGAGGCAUGCUGGAGGUAUCAGAAGUGCGAAUGCUGACAUAAGUAACGAUAAAGCGGGUGAAAAGCCCGCUCGCCGGAAGACCAAGGGUUCCUGUCCAACGUUAAUCGGGGCAGGGUGAGUCGACCCCUAAGGCGAGGCCGAAAGGCGUAGUCGAUGGGAAACGGGUUAAUAUUCCCGUACUUGGUGUUACUGCGAAGGGGGGACGGAGAAGGCUAUGUUGGCCGGGCGACGGUUGUCCCGGUUUAAGCGUGUAGGUGUGUGUUCCAGGUAAAUCCGGUUCACUUUAACACUGAGGCGUGACGACGAGGCACUACGGUGCUGAAGCAACAAAUGCCCUGCUUCCAGGAAAAGCCUCUAAGCAUCAGGUAACACGAAAUCGUACCCCAAACCGACACAGGUGGUCAGGUAGAGAAUACCAAGGCGCUUGAGAGAACUCGGGUGAAGGAACUAGGCAAAAUGGUGCCGUAACUUCGGGAGAAGGCACGCUGACACGUAGGUGAAGUGAUUUACUCAUGGAGCUGAAGUCAGUCGAAGAUACCAGCUGGCUGCAACUGUUUAUUAAAAACACAGCACUGUGCAAACACGAAAGUGGACGUAUACGGUGUGACGCCUGCCCGGUGCCGGAAGGUUAAUUGAUGGGGUCAGCGUAAGCGAAGCUCCUGAUCGAAGCCCCGGUAAACGGCGGCCGUAACUAUAACGGUCCUAAGGUAGCGAAAUUCCUUGUCGGGUAAGUUCCGACCUGCACGAAUGGCGUAAUGAUGGCCAGGCUGUCUCCACCCGAGACUCAGUGAAAUUGAACUCGCUGUGAAGAUGCAGUGUACCCGCGGCAAGACGGAAAGACCCCGUGAACCUUUACUAUAGCUUGACACUGAACAUUGAGCCUUGAUGUGUAGGAUAGGUGGGAGGCUUUGAAGUGUGGACGCCAGUCUGCAUGGAGCCGACCUUGAAAUACCACCCUUUAAUGUUUGAUGUUCUAACGUGGACCCGUAAUCCGGGUUGCGGACAGUGUCUGGUGGGUAGUUUGACUGGGGCGGUCUCCUCCUAAAGAGUAACGGAGGAGCACGAAGGUUGGCUAAUCCUGGUCGGACAUCAGGAGGUUAGUGCAAUGGCAUAAGCCAGCUUGACUGCGAGCGUGACGGCGCGAGCAGGUGCGAAAGCAGGUCAUAGUGAUCCGGUGGUUCUGAAUGGAAGGGCCAUCGCUCAACGGAUAAAAGGUACUCCGGGGAUAACAGGCUGAUACCGCCCAAGAGUUCAUAUCGACGGCGGUGUUUGGCACCUCGAUGUCGGCUCAUCACAUCCUGGGGCUGAAGUAGGUCCCAAGGGUAUGGCUGUUCGCCAUUUAAAGUGGUACGCGAGCUGGGUUUAGAACGUCGUGAGACAGUUCGGUCCCUAUCUGCCGUGGGCGCUGGAGAACUGAGGGGGGCUGCUCCUAGUACGAGAGGACCGGAGUGGACGCAUCACUGGUGUUCGGGUUGUCAUGCCAAUGGCACUGCCCGGUAGCUAAAUGCGGAAGAGAUAAGUGCUGAAAGCAUCUAAGCACGAAACUUGCCCCGAGAUGAGUUCUCCCUGAGACUUAGAGUCUCCUGAAGGAACGUUGAAGACGACGACGUUGAUAGGCCGGGUGUGUAAGCGCAGCGAUGCGUUGAGCUAACCGGUACUAAUGAACCGUGAGGCUUAACCUU
RNAcentral lists this ribosomal RNA (3008 nucleotides) under Salmonella enterica. Its description in RNAcentral is "23S ribosomal RNA". It matches the Rfam family "Bacterial large subunit ribosomal RNA". RNAcentral also lists the same sequence under 2 other names. The record is from RNAcentral. Lineage: Bacteria; Pseudomonadati; Pseudomonadota; Gammaproteobacteria; Enterobacterales; Enterobacteriaceae.